AAGGUCGUCACAGCUGGCUAACGUGUUUGAUAGAAGGCCAAAAAUCUCAUGUCAAAGAAUAUGUAUCCAAGAUUAGAACUCAGUACGAGUUGAAUCCGGAUUCUCCUCGACUUGCUGGGUUCAUUUUCGAUACUUUUGCUACUGGGAUGAAAGAUGUGCCUAAUGAAUUUGGAGUUCCAUGGUAUGUUUUUUCUGCUUCAGGUGCAGCUUUUAUUGGCAGCAUGAUGCAUCUUACUGCUCUUCAUGAUGAGCAGGGAGUUGACCUUACCGAGUUGAAGAACUCAGAGGAUGAAUUGGAAAUUCCGUGUUUGGCGAAUCCAAUUCCUGCUAAACUUGUGCCUUCCUCGGUGUUCGAGAAAGACUCACUGACUAUUUUUCUUGAACAUGCUCGGAUAUUGACUGAGGCUAGGGGUAUUUUGAUCAAUACAUUUUUAGAGUUCGAAUCCUAUGCAAUUAACUCUCUGUCAGAUGGUAAAACCCCUCCCGUGUACCCGGUUGGUCCCAUUGUGAAACAUGUAGGAGGUGGCGGUGAUCUGCGGUCGGAUGAGAGCAACAAUUAUAGGGACAUCAUGGAAUGGCUUGAUGAUCAACCUCCGUCAUCGGUUAUGUUCUUAUGCUUUGGAAGUUGGGGAAGCUUCAAAGAGAAACAAGUGAAAGAGAUUGCAAUUGCACUUGAGCAUAGCGGGCAUCGGUUCUUAUGGUCUCUACGCAAACCUUCACAGAACGGUAAAAAGCAAUCUCCGAGUGAUUAUGAAGAUUUUCAAGGUAUUUUACCUGAAGGUUUCUUAGAUCGAACAGCUAUGAUUGGGAAGGUAAUUGGAUGGGCUCCACAAGUGGAAAUCUUGUCUCAUUCAGCCGUCGGAGGAUUUGCAUCACAUUGUGGAUGGAAUUCUACACUAGAAAGUGUAAGAUUUGGUGUUCCAGUUGCCACUUGGCCAUUAUAUGCAGAGCAACAAUUUAAUGCUUUUCAAAUGGUAAUUGAGCUAGGAUUAGCCGUGGAAAUUAAAAUGGAAUAUUGGAAGGAUUUUUAUGGCGAUACUGAAAUAAUUGUGAGCAGUGAUGAUAUAUUGAAAGCUAUAAAGAGUGUUAUGGAAGAAGAUAGUGAGGUCAGAAAGAAGGUAAAGGAGAUGAGUAGAAUAAGUGAAAAAACCUUGGUGGAUGGAGGAUCUUCAUUUUCUUCAUUAGGUCGUCUAAUUGAAGAUAUGACGGAAAACAUGUCAUGAAUCAAUUGUUUUGAACUUCCCUCUGAGCAAUCUCUAAGAAAAAAAUGGAAUAGUUUUCCAUUGUUUUUGCUUAUGAUUCUAUAUAAUGGUAGCAAUUUAUGUAUUAAGAAUGAUUGUCAUGGUCAAUUAAUCAAUAAAUGUAUUUUCCUUAGAAAACAGUUUUUUUUCCCUUCAGUUUUGUGUGCAUCUAAAAACAAAUUCUCAAAUACUUAAUUCCAAAUAAAUUGAAAUGGGUGACAAUACUCCCAUCAGCUACAAUCACUUGAAUAAAGGUAUUGUUUGAUAAAGUUAAAAGUGUUUUUUAAAGUGUAUUAAGGAAAGAGACCACAUAUAUGUAAAUACAUUAUAUAGAGAUAUGUAAACAGGUUAAUAUUACCUUGUGUUUAAUUUUUAUCAAAUAAAUAAAGAUGGUGAGAUUCAAACUCGUGACUACUUGGUCAUCAAGGUUCCGCUUGGUGAUCAAGGUUCUGAUACCAUGUCAAAGAACCAUCUCAACCCAAUAGCUUAAGAUGUUAUGUGAGGUCCCAAGAUAUGAUUUAUAUUAUUCUCUAACACAUCCCCUCAAGUGAAAGCCCUUUGAGCUUGAAACUUGCACAGACCCAUAUUACCUUGUGUUUAAUUUUUAUCAAAUAAAUGAGGAUGGUGAGAUUCAAACUCGUGAUUGCUUAGUUAUCAAAGUUCUGAUACCAUGUCAAAGAACCAUCUCAACCCAAUAGUUUAACCUGUUAGGUGAGAUCUCAGGAUAUGAUUUAUAUUAUUCUCUAACAGAGGAAUGUACUACAUAUCAUACCUAUUCCUAUAUAAUGUAUUUACAUUUAUGCGGUCUCUUUCCUUAAUAAAGUGUAUUUGAAACAUAAAAAUAUUGAAAUGACUUCUUUUUUUUUAAUGCUUUUAAAUAGUUUCGAUGUUUCUAAAUGGUUUUAAUAUAAAAAUAUUGAAAAAUCAUUCAAUUAAUAUUUUUUAAAUUAAAGCAAAAACACAUACAAUACAUUACUAACAAUGCACACACUGAAUAAUAUAUAACAAUGUGAGAUUAAUAAUAAAAACUGUAGUAUGUGAACAUGUAUUUAUUCUGCAGAGAUUAAGCAGUCCAAAAGAGUGUUCGUAGUCCAAAUAUAAGAUUUUUAUGUAGAAGUUUCCUUUUAUAAUUUUAAAGUUAUGAUUUUUAAUGUAGGAGUUUUUUUUUGAAAAAAAGUAAAUAUGUUUUUUAGUUUUUUUUAUUUGUUCAUUUCCCACUUAAAAUUAUUUUUUUAAUUUUUUAUUUAGUAUUAUUAUUUUUUCUAUUUAAAAGGAAUAAUUUUUUUUUUAUUUAGUAUUAAUUGAAUUUUCUAGUUUUUUUUUCUAUAUAAAGGGUUGUAAUAGACUUUUAACAAGUCAUACUUGGAUGAAGUAAAAUUAAAUAUUUUAGGUAUCUUUCCAUGGUUAUUUUUGCACCCAAUGUUGUGACGACCUUAAAAAAAAUAUAUAUAUUUCUAGCAUCUUGUUAUUUUAAUGAGAAAAAAAGUCUUGUUUAUGAAGUCGCCACCUAGUAUUAUGGUUACUAGAAACCCUAACUGAUCAAUAAAAAUUCAAUGAAAAAUGAUUGUUUAUGUUAAAAAAAAGAUACUAUCAUCCCUAAAAUGAGCUACCAUCUAAUAUUUUUGACUCUGACAUCAAUGAGUAUUUAAGGGUUAAUAUCCCUGACUCUAGCGUUGAUGAAUAUUAGAGUUAAUAUCCCUAACUCUAUUGUCAAUAAAUAUUAGGGCUAAUAGUCCCGACUCUGGCGUCAAUGAUUAUUGAAGGUAAUACUAUUAGUUCUGGUAUUAGUGAAUAUUGAAGGUUAAUACUAGUUGUGAAUUCAUUUACAUCAAACAAUCUCGGGUUGGGUUCUAAAAUGAGCAUUGGAUCUGCAUCAAUGAAAAAUAGUAGACUUUGACCUUUUUAUAUAUAAAAAAAAAAGACUUGUAAUUUAUCAAUUUUCAUCAUUUUAUUUUUCAAACAAAAAGGUUUUAAGUUUUUGUUUUUAUAUGUAGGCUCAAUAGGCCAUUUUAUUUAGCACAAGUUUUUAAUGAACAUGAUAAGCUUAUUAUAAAACUUAAAAAUGCAUGUAAUAUAAAUACAUAUUUUUUAUAAUUAGGAUAUUCUAGGUCUUUAUACAUAUUUUUUAUAUAAAGAAUUGUUAUAGUUUUUUGACAAAUAAUACUAGAAAGAGCUAAAAUUAAAUACUUUAGAUGUCUUUCCAUAAUUAGGAUAUUAUAGGUCUUUGACUUGAAACAAUUUUUUUGUUUUUAUCAUUUGCUCGUAACUAUGUUAAUUAGUAUUAAAACCCAAUAAUUUCUAAUAAUUUUUUAUUAUGUGAUGUUAUUAAAAAAUUUAAUGGUUAGACUACUCGUAUAAAAAUAUGCAUGAAAAUCUCAUGAUGAGGCAAUCCACAGACAAAACGACACGAUCAUUGAGUUUCAAUAAGAUGCACCAAAAACGUGUUCAUUCUGACUGAUAUCUAUGUAUGAAUGAAUCUUGGCUUAUUAAAUAAAACAACGUUUUUUACUAAGAUAUUAAAUAAAACUUAUUAAAACUUUCCAACUAAGAUACCGUAAUUUUCUUUGUCUAACACCCGUGGUCUGUUGACGAGACUUUUCCUUUCUAAGAUUCCAAAAACAACCUUUUUUCUCUUCAUUGUCAAUUUCUUAUGUUAUUAUCUCGUAUUUAAAAAUUACAAAAAAAUUAAAAUAUAAAUUUAUAAGACUCGAUUGAAAAUAAAUUAUUAUCAAAGUACUAAUUAAAAAAUAUACCCAUGGUUUUCCAGCCCAAUAAAGCUUAUAUCAGUCGCAAGGUUAUGUUUUUCAACCAUAGUUAUUAAAUUUAGUUUAAAUUAACUAAUUUAUUUGAAAAACUUAAAACUUAAAUUAAUAUCAAUGUACUAAUUAAAAAAAUACACCCACGGUUUUCCAGCUCAAUAAAACUGAAAUUAAUUACAAGUUUACUUUUUUCAAAUAUAGUUAUUAAAACUUAGUCUACUUAGAUAAAUUGAUUUAAAAAACAUAACACUUAAUUAACCAGGCUUGGGUUUUUAAUUGAAUCGGGCUAGGUAUUAAAUAUAUAAAACUUAAUUUAUUCGGUUAAACCCAAUUCUAAUAUAACAAAGCUUAACACUAUAAUUUUUAUUUUAAAAAAACAAAAUAAUAUUAUUUUAACUAAAAUAAUUUACGCGAUAACUUAUAAAUUAACGUAAUUACAUGAUAAUUCAGAUACUUUUUCAGGUUAUUUAUCAGAUUCCCGAGAUCAAAUAUGAUAACUACGUUCCAACUGCUUCAUUGGACUGUUUUUGUAAACAUCUAUGUGCUUGUAGCCGUUGAAAUUCUUAAAUUAAAUGCAUGUACAUGGUUAACUGCCAGCAAAGCCAUGACAUCACUCUAAUUCUAGAACUUCAAGAUUUAUAUUUCAAACAAGAUCAUGAUCAACUUCGACGCAUCCCAAGGAGACCACCGUUGUUCACAACAAGAAACAAAAAUUUCUAGCAAAGAAUGAAGAAAGCAGAGGUGGUGCUAAUCCCCUUACCUGCUAUGGGCCAUAAAGUAGCAGUAGUGGAGAUAGCUAAGCUUCUUGUUCAACGUGAUGAUCGAAUUUACACAACUGUCUUGGUAAUGCAUCCAACUGUUGACCCCAGCACUACCACGUUCAAUGAGUCACUGGCUGCAUCAACUCUCCCUGAUCGUAUGCGAGUCAUUAACUUGCCCAGAGUUGAGUCCAUAACAUCAGAUACUAAACCCAAUAACUGGCUUAGUGCUUUGUGUCACGGGGUCAAUUUUUCGUCCCAAAAACAGACCUCACACGGCAGUCUAGUCCCGCUAGACUCAGCCUUUCCCUCGCCUAUUCACUCGUGUUUUGCCUACGAGUAGUUUGUCCCACAAACCCAAGAGAUCCCCACACUCUUUCAAUGUCACAAGCAAGCAGAAUAACACAACUGAAUAUGAACAGAAUAAACAACACAGCAAUUUACAGAAACAAGUCUCAACCUUUUCAUUAACUCAACUAAAGGAUUACACAAAGUUCUUCUUGUGUGCUAUCCCCAUUUCCGUUCCCCGCAUGCUACACAUUUUACAGCCUAUCUAUUUACAAGAUAAUGAAAGUUACAAGUAUAAACUACCCCUAACUCCCUGCACAGCUGGAGCACCCAUUAUCCCAUGUUCUGGCCAACUUCUUCCCCACAUAAGAACUGUCGCAACUGCAUUGGUAUGUUCUCCCACAAGCCAACUGCCCACUGCCAGCACACAUGCUGCCAGCGUAACUGUCUUGCAUGCCUUGGACCGUCCGCUGUCCAAGUUAUUGUCAGCCCCUGCUGCUGAUUUUGUCGACGUUGCCGAACAUCAACCAUGCCCUGCCGAAUCGUUGACGCACACUGUUGCCGAAUCUGCCAAAACCCAUGCACGAUGCCAUUGUCGAUGCAUGCUGCCAUUCCUGCCAGUAGCGUUUACGUCAAGUCUAGGACUGCCUAUUGUCCAGAUUCAUCGUCAGCCCUUGUUGCCGAUUUUGUCGACGUUGCUGAAUUCCUCGACGCUGCCGAUCUCACCAGUGCUGCCGAAUUUCCCACUGUCCCAUUGUGUCAUCCCAGCACUGUUUCGUCAAGCAUUGGACAAUCCUCGCCCAAGCCCCAACUCUCGUCAGCAUACUGCUACGCUAACUGUUGUGUGCUGCCGCACACACACUCUGCCAAUUUUCGCUACUGUCACGCGAGCUACCACCCCGUAGCUGCUGUCCAGCAAUGCUUUUCGUCAGCCUACACCCUGACGGAUUUUAAUCCUGUUACACUUUGGUUGAAGGGCAAAAACCCCACGUCAAAGAAUAUGUUUCAAAGAUAAGAACUCAGUCUGAAUUGAGCCUUGAUGCUCCUCGCCUAGCUGGGUUUAUUUUUUAUUCUUUUGUUACAGGACUGAAAGAAGUGGCCAAUGAAUUUGGGUUACCAUGGUAUGCUUUUUCUGCUUCGGGUGCAGCUUUUCUUGGUUGUUUAUUGCAUCUUCAGGCUCUUCAUGAUGAGCAGGGAGCGGACCUGACUGAAUUCAAGAACUCGGAUGUCGAGUUGAGUAUCCCGAGUUUGGUGAACCCAUUUCCCGCUAAACUUCUGCCUUCUGUACUGUUUGAGAAAGAUUCGCUUACUACUGUUCUUGAGCAACCAAGAGCAUUGGCCGAAGCCAGAGGUAUUUUGGUAAAUACAUUUUUGGAGUUUGAAUCCCAUGCGGUCAACUCUCUUUCUAAUGGCAGGACCCCUCCAAUAUAUCCAGUGGGACCGAUUGUUAAACAUAAAAGAGACGGUCAUGAUGUGGGUUCGGAAGGGAGCAACAAUUACAGAAACAUUAUUGAAUGGCUUGAUGAUCAGCCUCCAUCAUCAGUUUUGUUUUUGUGCUUUGGAAGUGGUGGAAGUUUUAGGGAGAAACAGGUGAAAGAGAUUGCUUGCGCCCUAGAGAAGUGUGGGCAUCGAUUCUUAUGGUCCCUACGUAAACCUCCACCGAGAGGAAAGUGGGAGUAUUCACCGAGUGAUUAUGCAAAUUUUCAAGAAAUCUUACCGAAAGAGUUUUUAAACCGGACAGCUAAGAUUGGGAAAGUAAUCGGAUGGGCUCCACAGGUAGACAUAUUGGCUCAUCCAGCCAUAGGAAUGUUUGCUUCGCAUUGUGGAUGGAAUUCUAUACUAGAAAGUAUAAGGUUUGGUGUUCCAAUUGUCGCCUGGCCAUUAUAUGCAGAGCAACAGUUCAAUGCCUUCCAAAUGGUAAUUGAGUUGGGAUUAGCCGUGGAAAUUAAAAUGGAUUGUAGGAAGAAUUCUCAUGGUGAUAACGAAAUAAAUGUGAGUGCUGAUGGUAUAAUGAAAGCAAUAAAGCAUGUGAUGGAGCAAGGUAAAGAAAUAAGAAAGAAGGUAAAAGAGAUGAGCAGAAUAGGUGAGAAAACCUUGAUGGCCGGUGGAUGUUCGUAUUCAUCUUUGGGUCGUUUAGUCGAUGAUAUAAUUAUAGACAACCAGCCAUGAAGCAACUGUUCCAAACUAUCCUCGGAGCGAUUACUUACAAUAAGCAAUUAUGAUUUAUCUACAAGAAUCUAUGUAUUAAGAAUGUUAGUCGCGGCCAAUAAAUUUAAUCUUUCCUUUCUUUAGGAGAAAAAUAUUUUUGUAAUCUCUUGUUUUGUAUUGGAAAAUAAUUUUACCAACUAAUGAGAUUCUAAAUCCUCGAAAGCAUUUGAACUUCCAAGUUAGAGGCGAGGUGGCUUAUGGUUUUAUGCUAGAAUGUGUUUGAAACGGUUGUGGACUUGCAACCCUGAUAGGUUGCGAGGUCUCUUAAUAAUAAAGUUAGUAGAGAAGGAAGGGUGUAUGUGUGUUUUAAGGUUGAGGGAGUUGUUUAUUUAGAUAUUUAGACCCUUUAUAUGAGUUCAUAGAUGUUUAUAUAACCAUGAGACAUACCAACCCUUUAUAUGUGAGUUCAUAGAUGUUACUUAACUAUAAGACAUGCAACUUGCAUAGAAACAAGAACAUAAUAGAAAAAAAAAAACAUUUCUGAACAUACCAUUAGGUACCAUCAUUCAGUUAAGUACCGUUGAUCGGGACCAAUCACCAACCAAUUAUCCACACACAUGAUCCUCAACCAAUUAUUCGAUCAUAUUACAUUAUCCAAAGGAAAUUAAGAAAAAAAAACUUGUUUUAGAUCUAAGAACAACCUACUAGAUCUGUCGGAGUCGCCAACAAUUGUUGGAUCAAAACAGCACAGAAUCGACGCGUGAUGGUCAUGCGCUGACAGUUUAAAAUUCAAUCUUUUUACAUUAUCGGAUACUUAUUUAAAAUAUACUUGCUUCUUGUAUUGUUAACUAGUAUUUCAAUAUUAAAAAAACAAUAUAUCAAAAAUAAAUUUAAAGUAAUGCAUCGAGCUAGAUAUACUCAUCAAAAAAACAUACCCACGAUUUUAGAGUUCAUUGAUUAGGUUACAAGUUUAUUUUUUCCAACUGCUCCGUUGGACUGUUUUUUGUAAACAUCUAUGGGCUACUAGCUAGCCGUAGAAAUUCUUAAUUUAAAGCAUGUAUAUGGUUCAUUGCCAGAACAGCCAUGACAUCAGCCUUUAGGUCUAGACCUUCAUUAUAUAUUUCGUUCAAGAUCGUGAUCAGUUCCACACAUCCUAAGUAGUCCACAUUUGUUCACAGCAAGAAACAAACAUUUCUAGCUAAGAAUGAAGAAAGCAGAGGUGGUACUAAUCCCCUUACCUGCUAUGGGCCAUAUUGUAGCAGUAGUGGAGAUGGCUAAGCUUCUUGUUCAACGUGAUGAUCGCCUAUCCACAACUGUCUUCGUAAUGCAUCCAACUCUUGAUCCUAGCACCACCAAAUAUACUGAAACACUUGCUGUCUCAACUCUCCCUGAUCGUAUGCGAGUCAUUAACUUGCCCAGUCUUGAGUCCAUAACAUCUGCUACCAAAGGUCGUCACAGCUGGCUAACGUGUUUGAUAGAAGGCCAAAAAUCUCAUGUCAAAGAAUAUGUAUCCAAGAUUAGAACUCGGUACGAGUUGAAUCCGGAUUCUCCUCGACUUGCUGGGUUCAUUUUCGAUAUUUUUGCUACUGGGAUGAAAGAUGUGCCUAAUGAAUUUGGAGUUCCAUGGUAUGUUUUUUCUGCUUCAAGUGCAGCUUCUAUUGGCAGCAUGAUGCAUCUUACUGCUCUUCAUGAUGAGCAGGGAGUUGACCUUACCGGGUUGAAGAACUCAGAGGAUGAAUUGGAAAUUCCGUGUUUGGCGAACCCAAUUCCUGCUAAACUUGUGCCUUCC
This 8983-nucleotide long non-coding RNA is filed under the name Populus trichocarpa (black cottonwood). Its description in RNAcentral is "long non-coding RNA (PTRI_LNC003561)". Lineage: Eukaryota; Viridiplantae; Streptophyta; Magnoliopsida; Malpighiales; Salicaceae. The record is from RNAcentral.